AAGAAAAAUCUGAGACUCGUCAAAUCUUUCUCAACUCUCUCAAUUUUCUUUUAACACACAUACAAUUUUUUCUCAUCUUCAACAGGACCUGUCAUUCUCUGUCAUUUGUAGUUCACAUCGUCUCAUUUGUAGUUCACACCAUCUCUUUGAACUCAACAUUGGCGGGAAGAUCCACUGAAAUCUCAAGAAGUUAUGGAACCACACCAGUGUCCUCUAAUGAGGGUAAAAUUUUUUUAUAGAGAGUCACCACUUUAUUUCCACUCAUCUGGUGGCCAGUUUGACAACCAGUUCGUUCUCAUUCUAAAUUAUUCCAGGUCUGAGGAGUGAGUUUGUAAUUGAUGUUGUCUUGUCCUCUGUUCCUACGAGGGGAGUAUCCUGUUUUUCCAACAUCCAGUAUCUUAAAACUUAUGAGAGGAAAUCCAAUCUACAAAGAUUGACGAUACAGUGACGUAAAUUCAGAUGUAAAUUUAAACAGGAAAURCAAGGUAGAAAUUUUAUUUAUUUAUYAUUA
Long non-coding RNA from Momordica charantia (bitter melon), 511 nucleotides. RefSeq lists it as uncharacterized. NCBI's taxonomy places the organism in Eukaryota, Viridiplantae, Streptophyta, Magnoliopsida, Cucurbitales, Cucurbitaceae. The record is from RefSeq and is a predicted model, not a curated record.